This is a long non-coding RNA of Symphalangus syndactylus (siamang), 689 nucleotides long. RefSeq lists it as uncharacterized. NCBI's taxonomy places the organism in Eukaryota, Metazoa, Chordata, Mammalia, Primates, Hylobatidae. The record is from RefSeq and is a predicted model, not a curated record.
ACUUUGUGCCUGGACAUGGAUUCCUCCUCAAUGUGUUCCAAAGGCCUUCUGGUCCCACUGGAAUACGUCAUACACAAUUCAGACCUGGAGGAAAGUUUGGAGGCCCCGACUCCCUUGACUUCCCUGCAUAGAGACUAUAUUACGGAGCAGACUCUGGAGGAGGGAUUGGAACUGUGUCCCUCUGGAAUAUACUUCUGCAACUCUGAGUUAGAGGAAUGGAGGAAGCCUUUGGUUCAAAUGCCAUAGCUCCCCACUGUCUUUAAUAAGAUCCCCUUGUCAUAAAACCAGUGCAUAAGAUACAACUACAUCCAAUGUAUUCCAGAGAAAGAUUCUCUGCAAAUGACUCAAGGAAAGCCACAGGAGCAACAGGGAAACUGAAAGAACCAAACGUUGAUUCAGAAGGGCAGCCCCACAUUUUUAAGUGAUACCCAACGAUUGUGAAUAAGCUCUGUCAACGCCAUCUGCUCCACAAAGGAAAGUUGCUGAUUAUCGCAUCUCUAAGUGGAGUCGGUUCUCUCCCACGACAGCAGAAGGCUUUAACAUUCACUAUACUCUUAUGGACAUGGAGGAUGGGAACCAUUGCUUUGUUUACUCUGUAACUUCUUAAUUAUAUCACAAAAGACUCGGCACAUAAGCAGUAUCCAGAAAAGCAAGUCGACUAAAUAAAAAUUAAUGCAUGAUUGUCUAUA